GGCAGCUGGUUUGGACUUUGGAGAUAGCUCACAGCCUCAGACCAGCGCGUCGUAAAGCGAUGUCCAUGGCGAUGCAGACUGCUGAGCCCCUGAACGGUUCAUCUGCCUGCUCCCUAAGCCGAGGCAGCCAGAGCAGUUGGUCGACGCUGGAGCAGCACAGCAGGAAAACUUAGGUGAUACAUGGCGCAGACCAGGUUAAUCCGGGGCAGCGUGCGCCGCUCCUGUGGAAGCGGAACCCGCGGCCAGCGCUACCGGAGCCGCCGAGCUUGUGUUCUCCUGGGCCGCCGCCGGCAUGCCGUGCGAGAGGAGAGCUUCACAGGACCAGGGACCUUCUUAGCAUUUGGAGCUGCAGAUGCCUCUUCUGUACCCGACUUCUGUAUGCCAAUGAUGUCUGGAUCAGCAGGAAUUGAAGAAAGCUUCACAGGGUGGCCUUGUUGACUUGGAAACAUCUUUGCUGGAACUUGAAAACUACUGGGAACACUUGAUGAAGUUGGCACAUACUGUUCCUUUAAGUUGUAUGCAAAGUAAUUUUUUCGACAGCUCAAACAGCACAUCACAGUGUUUAGGACAUAGAUGGGGUACUGAUAUUGUGUCUCACAGUGGGGGCAUAUAGUCCAAAAAGAUGCUACAUAUCCAGGCACAUCAGAUUUACUUGUGUCACUCUUCUUUUGUUGCUGUGUAGCUUGUUUUCGUACUUUUCUCAAAGCAUUAAGCCUUCUGAUGUCAUAAUGAGAUCGCUUUGUUUGAUCAAA
Long non-coding RNA from Brachypodium distachyon (stiff brome), 752 nucleotides. RefSeq lists it as uncharacterized. The record is from RefSeq and is a predicted model, not a curated record. The transcript is spliced from 3 exons. NCBI's taxonomy places the organism in Eukaryota, Viridiplantae, Streptophyta, Magnoliopsida, Poales, Poaceae.